GUGCAGGAGUAAAGUUUCUUUUGGUCUAAUAAGGUUAAUAUGAGAUUGAAGUUCGACUUUUGAAUGAAGUGUUCUUGUCCUUCUUUGGAUGAAAUAAGUAAUGAAAUGUUAAGAUGGACAGAGAUGGGGCACCUAUUUGAUUUUCUUCACAGUUCUGGCUUUGGCUUGGACAUGAAGUUGGUUAUAUUUGGACAUUUUCAUUGGUAGAAGGUAGAGUAUUAAAAGUUUUUGAAGGAUUAGUGGAGAAACUUGUAAGCCUAAUAUGUGUAUUUAAAGGAACCAAGAAAAGAGGCCUAAUAGGUUGCCAUCUUUUGAAGAAAGGAUUAUCAAAUUGGAUCAAGUGUUGAAGCAGUAGGAAAGGAGGAAAAGAGAAAGUGGAAAGGGGGAAAUAUUGAAGUAAGAAAGUAGAAGAAGAAAAUACCAAAAUUGAAGAUAGGAAAAAAACAUGAAAAGUGAGAAGGCUGUGAUGAUUAUUGAUUUAGCUUUUAGAAGAGUUCGUACCAAAAAGUUUGUAUUACCCAUCAUUACCUAGAGCCGGACUAGGGUAUGAUGGGAAAUAAAUACUUUUUGGUAGCAUUCGCUCCUAAAAACUAAGCCAAUAAUCAUCACCGCUUUUAUCAAAUUUCUUGUUUUUUUCUUGUAUUUUAAUUUGGUAUUUUCUUUUUCUACUUUCUUACUUUGACUAACGGUGAGAUUAGCCUAAUGGAUUAAAUUUUUAUUUAAGGGAUGGGGUGAGUGCUCAUAUCUCUUUGCCAUUGUUUUGAGAAAUGAUUAUCAACUUGAAUUAGUGUUGAAAUAGUGCACUAAGAGUCAGAUUAGCCAAUUGGAUCAAGGUUUUAUUUAUAAGCUCUAUGGUGAUUUUUCGUUGAUAUGAAUAUAGCGAAAAGUCAUUUGGCUAAUGAAAUGAUAUUGAAAAAAGACAACAUGGAGGGACUAUAGACGACACAAAAAGAAAAGUUAGAAUAUAAGGAGGCUGGCUGUUAAGAAGAAAUCUGACUCAACGAGGUUUGAAAAUCUAAUAUUUCCUCAUUAUUAGGUAAUCUUCUGAAACAGAUGGACCAAGAGUUGGUUGAAGAGUCCUAGUGAUCUAAAACAGUUAUGGUUUUGAGGGAUCCACAAGAUUUUUUUAUAAAUGCAAGAGAAACUCAUUUUCCUAAAGGGAGUAAUUGGACAGAUCUUGGAAGGGGUUUUGAGAGAAUUAUAAACAAAGAAGGAAGACAUUAGAAUAAAAGUUAUUUGGGUAGUUGGACCCAAAGAAGUAUAAAAUUGGAUGGAGAGUUGUGAACAAGGAAAAGCUUUGAUGUUUUUUGGAUUUGGCAACAACUUGCCACCAUGUUUAUACGACAAGAUAAUGUUAGAGAUUGCAAAAUGAAAAAGGGUAGAGAAGAAACAUGGAGUGCGGUGGAUGAUGGAGUAAUUCAUCAAAAAAACUUUCAAGUAAGUGAAACUCUAAAAUAAAUAGUUUUUGGGUUAAUUGGUGCAAGAGAAAGGUCCUAUUGGUCUAAUAAGGUAGACUAGUAUGAGAUUGAACUUCAAUUUUUGAAAGAAUAGUUAUUGGCUUUCUUUGGAUGAAAUAAGUUUUGAAAUGUUAAGAUGGACAGAGAUAAGGCAUCCGUUUGGUUUUCGCAGUUGUGGCUUUCGCUUGGACAUGAAGUUUGUUAUAUUUGGAGAUUCAUUGGCACAAGGUUUUGAGUAUUAAAAGUUUUAAAGGAUUAGUGGAGAAGCGUAUAAGCCUAAUAGGUGUAUUUAAAGGAACCUAGAAAAAGAGGUAUGAAGGUUUUUAAUUAAAAGAAGUACUUGAAUGAAAGUUCUUUGGGUAAUUGGCGCUAAUUCAAAGUUCAAUUCUGUUGGUUAUAAGUUAGAUAACGGGCAAUCUUAUGGAAUUGCUGAGUUUAUUAGGUAUUGAAGAAGGCAAAGAGAUAAGUUUGUAUAAGGCCAUGGUUAUCCGUAAGGAGAUGGGAAGAUAAGUGUGAAUAAAGGAGUUUCAUACUAAAGUAUCAAAUUUUGGACUUCCAAGUUUUUGAUAGAAUUCUUGCCAUUUUUGUGAAGAAAGAUUAGCAAAUUCACUAAAGUGCUAAUAUAAUGGACAAACUAAGAUACUUUAUUUCAGUAGCUGACAAUUUGACCGUGGAAAUUGAUCUAAGUCCAAACAUUAACAGUAUAGUAUAUAAUUAAAAAUGAAAUGGUCAAAUGUGAGAUUCGUUGGUAUAUGGUUUCUAGGGUUCUACAAGAUUGUCUGACAAAAUGCAAGAGAAACUCAUUUUCUGAAAAGGAGUAAUUGGACCGAUCAUGAAAAGAGUUUUCAGAUCAUUCUAAACAAAGAAAGGAGACAUUAGAAUAAAAGGUAUUUGAGUAAUUGGAACCAAAGAAGUAUAAAAUUGGAUGAAGAGUUUAAGAAGAUGGAAAAGCUUUGGUACUUUUUAGGAUUGGCAACUACUUGCCAUGAUGUUUUAUACGAGAAGAUAACAUUAGAGAUUGUGAAUUUAAAGAGGGGAGAAAAGACACAAAGAGUGUGGUGGAUGAUGGAGUAAUUCAUUGGAAGAGUUUCAUGUAAAUGAAACCUAAACAUAAAAUGGGUUUGGGUUUAUUGGUGCAAGAGAAAAGUUCCUAUCGGUCUAAUAAAGUAGAUUAGUAUGAGAUUGAAGUUCAACUUUUGAAUGAAGAGUUCUUGUCUUUUUUUGGACAAAAUAAGUGAUGAAAUGACGGACAAAGAUGAGGCAUCCGUUUAGUUUUUGCAAUUGUGGCUUUGGCUUGGACAUGAAGUUUGUAUAUUUGGAGAUUCGCAUUGGCAUAGGUUAAAGUAUUAAAAGUUUUUUAAGGAUUAGUGGAGAAAGUUGUAAAGCCUAAUAGGUGUAUUUAAGGGAACCAAGAAAAGAGGCCUAAUAGGUUGCCAUCUUUUGGAGAAAGGAUUAUCAAAUUGGAUCAAGUGUCGAGGCCGUAAAGAGAAAGUGGAAAGGGGAAAUGCCAAUGUAAGAAAGUGGAAAAAGAAAAUAUCAAAAUUAAAGAUAGGAAAAAAACAUGAAAAGUGAGAAGUCUGUGAUGAUUAUUGAUUUAGCGUUUAGAAGAGUUCGUACCAAGAAGUUUGUAUUACCCAUCAUUACCCUAGAGCCGGACUAGGGUAUGAUGGGUACUAAAUACUUUUUUGUAGCAUUCGCUGCUAAAAACUAAGCCAAUAAUCAUCACCGCUUUUAACACAUUUCUUGUUUUUUCUUGUAUUUUAAUUUGUUUUUUCUUUUUCUACUUUCUUACUUUGACUAAUGGUGAGAUUAGCCAAAUGGAUAAAAUUUUUAUUUAAGGGAUGAGGUGAGUUCUCUUUGCCAUUGUUUUGAGAAAUGAUUAUCAACUUGAAUUAGUGUUGAAAUAGUGCACUAAGAGUCAUAUUAGCCAAUUGGAUCAAGGUUUUAUUUAAGCUCUAUGGUAAUUUUUCGUUGAUAUGAAUAUAGCGAAAAGUCAUUUGCUAAUGAAAUGAUAUUGAAAAAAGACACAUGGAGGACUAUAGACGACACACAAAAGAAAAGUUAGAAUAUAAGAGUUUUGGAUUGAAGUGUGACGUUGAGAUUCAAGUUUUGGAUUAAAGAACUCUAGCCAAUUGUUUUGAGAAAGAAAUAUCAAAAUGGAUUUGUGCUGAGAUUAUGCAUUUAAAUUGUGAAUAGAUUAAGUUUUUGUUUAACGAAUUUGGUGAUUUCCAAUGGACAUGGUUGUUGGAAAAAAAAGUUGGCUAUACUAAAGUAAAUUGUAAAAAGAACAUGGAGGACUAUAAUCGACACAAAUAUAGAAGUGUGGAUUUAUUUAACAAAUUUGGUGAUUUCCAUGGAUAUGGUUAUUGGAAAAAGAAAAGUUUGCUGAACUAAUGUAAUUGGCAAAAAGAACGUGGAGGACCAGAAAUGGCACAAAUAGAGAAGUAAGGAUAUUUGAGUUUUGGAUUGUUAAGUGUUAUUCAAUUUUAACUUUUGGAAUGAAUAACCAUUGUUUCGAGAAAAGAUUAUCAGAAUGAAUUAAGAGUUAAAGAUAGUGCACUAAGAGAAGAUUAGCCAAUUGGAUUAAGUUUUUAUUUAACGAAUUUGGUGAUUUGUUGUUGACAUGAUUAUUGGAACAAGAAAAGUUGGCUAUACUAAUGUAAUUGGUAUAAAGAACAUGAAGGACCAUAAAAGGCACAAAUAUAGAAGUAAGGAUAUUUGAUUUUUUGAUUGAUGUGUGACAUUCAACUUUUAACUUUUUGAAUGAAGAGCCAAUGUUUUGAAAACAGAUUACUUGUUUUGAAAACAGAUUACCAUAAUGGAUUUAGAGUUAAGAUAGUGCACUACGAGAAAGAUUAGCCAUUUGGAUUUAGGAUUUUGUUUAAGGAAUUUGGUGAUUUGCCAUGGAUAUGGUUAGUGAAGAAGAAAUGUUGGCUAUACUAAUAUAAUUGGUAAAAAGAACAUGGAGGACUAAAAGGAAACAAAUAAAGAAGUAAGGAUAUUUGAGUUUGGAUUGAAGUGUGGCAUUUGGACUAACUUUUUGGAAUGAAGAGCCAAUGCUUGGAGAAAGGAUUACGAUGAAUUAAGUGUUAAAAUAGUUCGAUAUUUGAGUUUUGAUUGAAGUGUGGCAUUUGGACUUUUAACUUUGGAAUGAAGAGCCAAUGCUUGGAGAAGGAUUACGAUGAAUUAAGUGUUAAAAUAGUUCCUUAAUUGUAAGAUUAGUCAAUUGGAUUAUAUAGAUCACCAAGUUGUGUUCGUAUUGUAUGGAUAUAAACUUCAACGAUUGCAGUAAGGAAUAGAUCAAUUUCAGAAUGAAAAGUACGAAAAACAAGAAGAGAAUUAAAAGAACUAUCCUCUCUGCUUUUGGUUAAUUUGUGCAAGAGAAAGGUCCCAUUGGUGUAAUAAGGUGUCGGAUGAGAUUGAACUUAAAUUUUGAAUGAAGAGUUAUUUGCUUUCUUUGGAUGAAAUAAGUUACGAAAUGUUAAGAUGGACAGAGAUAAGGUAUCCAUUUGGUUUUCGGAGUAGUGGCUUUCGCUUGGACAUGAAGUUUGUUAUAUUUGUGGAGAUUCAUUGGCACAAGGUUUUGGAGUAUUAAAAGUUUUGAAGGAUUGGUGGAGAAGCGUAUAAGCCUAAUAGGUGUAUCUAAUGGAACCAAAAAAAGAAGUAUGGAGGUUUUUAAUUAAAGGAAGUACUUGAAUGAAAGAUCUUUGGGUAAUUAACGCUAAUGCUGGUUCGAUUCUGUUUAUUAUAAGCUGAUUACGGGCAAUCUAUGGAAUUGCUUAGUUUGUUAGGUAUUGAAGAAGGCAGGAAGAUAAGUUUGUAUAAGGCCAUGAUUAUGUAAGGAGAUGGGAAGAUAAGUUUGAAUAAAGGAAUUUAUACUAAAUAUAAAAAGAACAUGGAGGACUAUAAAUGGGACAAAUAGAGAAGUAAGGAUAUUUGAGUUUUGCAUUUAAGUGUGGCAUUGGACUUCAACUUUUGGAAUGAAGAGCCAAUGUUCAGAGAAAAGAUUAUCAAAAUGGAUUAAGAGUUAAGAUAGUGCACUAAGAGAAAUAUUAGCCAAUUGAAUUAAGUUUUAAUUAAACGAAUUUGGUGAUUUGCCAUGUACAUGGUUAUUGGAAAAGAAAACUGGGCCAUACUAUUGCAAUAUUGGUAAAAAAGAACAUAGAAGAUCAUAAAUGACACAAAUAGAGAAGUAAGGACAUUUGAUUUUUGGAUUGAAGUGUGACAUUGGCUUUUAACUUUUGGAAUGAAGAGUCAAUGUUUAGAGAAAAGAUUAUCAUAAUGGAUUAAGAGUUAAGAUAGUGCACUAAGAGAAAGACUAGCCAAUUGGAUUUUUAGUUUUUAUUUAACAAAUUUGGUGAUUUCCCAUGGACGUGGUUAUUGGAAAAAGAAAAGUUGGCUAUACUAAUGUAAUUGGUAAAAAUAAAUGGAGGACUAUAAAUGGCACAAAUAGAGAAGUCAAGAUAUUUGAGUUUUGAAUUGAAGUGUGACAUUCGACUUGAACAUUUCAGUGGUUUUGUUAGAAGUUUAAUGACUGAAUAGCUUUGCUUCGUAGUCGUAGGAAAUUGUUUGUUUAUGAUAAACUACCUAGGAUUAUUUUAUACAUAUACAGAACUGUUUUAAAUAUUGCUUCAUGGAAUAUCUUUGUUUUGUUUUUAUGUGUUCUUUGUCGAUAUAUAUAUGUGUUUUUGUUUCAAAGAGUAGGUGAGUCAAAUAGUAGGACUGAUUGUAAGACGGGUUGAGAGAUUGAUGAGCAAGGAAUGAAAUUAUAACAUCCUUUAUGUCUUAGUGGUUAGGAAUGGAGCAUUGAACUCUAAUUUUAAAAUAAAUAAUAAAUAUAUAUGUUUUGAGUAUUAAAAGUUUUUGAAGGAUUGUGAAGAAACUUAUAAACUAAUAGGUUUUUUAAAAGAACCAAGAAAAGAGGUCUGAAGGUUUUUAAUUAAAGGAGUACUUGAAUAAAAAUUCUUUCGGGUAAUUGGUGCAAGUGCAAAGAUAGAUUCUGUUGGUUAUAAGCUAGAUAAGGCAAUCUUAUGGAAUUGCUGAGUUUGUUAGGUAUUAAAGAGACCAAAAGAUAAGUUGAAUAAGAGAAUGAUUAUCUUCAAGUAGAUAGGAAGAUAAUUUGAAUAAGGGAAUUUCAAAUAAAAGUACGAUUUCGACUUCAAGUUUUUGAUAGAUUUCUUGCCAUUUUUGGAAGAAAUUAGCAAAUUCACUAAAGUGCUAAUAAAUGGACAAACUAAGAUACUUUAUUUCAGUAGCUGACAAUUGACCGUGGAAAUUGAUCUAAGUCCAAAACAUUAACAGUAUAGUAUAUAAUUAAAAAUGAAAUGGUCAAAUGUGAGAUUCGUUGGUAUAUGGUUUCUAGGGUUCUACAAGAUUGUCUGACAAAAUGCAAGAGAAACUCAUUUUCUGAAAAGGAGUAAUUGGACCGAUCAUGAAAAGAGUUUUCAGAUCAUUCUAAACAAAGAAAGGAGACAUUAGAAUAAAAGGUAUUUGAGUAAUUGGAACCAAAGAAGUAUAAAAUUGGAUGAAGAGUUUAAGAAGAUGGAAAAGCUUUGGUACUUUUUAGGAUUGGCAACUACUUGCCAUGAUGUUUUAUACGAGAAGAUAACAUUAGAGAUUGUGAAUUUAAAGAGGGGAGAAAAGACACAAAGAGUGUGGUGGAUGAUGGAGUAAUUCAUUGGAAGAGUUUCAUGUAAAUGAAACCUAAACAUAAAAUGGGUUUGGGUUUAUUGGUGCAAGAGAAAAGUUCCUAUCGGUCUAAUAAAGUAGAUUAGUAUGAGAUUGAAGUUCAACUUUUGAAUGAAGAGUUCUUGUCUUUUUUUGGACAAAAUAAGUGAUGAAAUGACGGACAAAGAUGAGGCAUCCGUUUAGUUUUUGCAAUUGUGGCUUUGGCUUGGACAUGAAGUUUGUUAUAUUUGGAGAUUCGCAUUGGCAUAGGUUAAAGUAUUAAAAGUUUUUUAAGGAUUAGUGGAGAAAGUUGUAAAGCCUAAUAGGUGUAUUUAAGGAACCAAGAAAAGAGGCCUAAUAGGUUGCCAUCUUUUGGAGAAAGGAUUAUCAAAUUGGAUCAAGUGUCGAGGCCGUAAAGAGAAAGUGGAAAGGGGAAAUGCCAAUGUAAGAAAGUGGAAAAAGAAAAUAUCAAAAUUAAAGAUAGGAAAAAAACAUGAAAAGUGAGAAGUCUGUGAUGAUUAUUGAUUUAGCGUUUAGAAGAGUUCGUACCAAGAAGUUUGUAUUACCCAUCAUUACCCUAGAGCCGGACUAGGGUAUGAUGGGUACUAAAUACUUUUUUGUAGCAUUCGCUGCUAAAAACUAAGCCAAUAAUCAUCACCGCUUUUAACACAUUUCUUGUUUUUUCUUGUAUUUUAAUUUGUUAUUUUCUUUUUCUACUUUCUUACUUUGACUAAUGGUGAGAUUAGCCAAAUGGAUAAAAUUUUUAUUUAAGGGAUGAGGUGAGUUCUCUUUGCCAUUGUUUUGAGAAAUGAUUAUCAACUUGAAUUAGUGUUGAAAUAGUGCACUAAGAGUCAUAUUAGCCAAUUGGAUCAAGGUUUUAUUUAAGCUCUAUGGUAAUUUUUCGUUGAUAUGAAUAUAGCGAAAAGUCAUUUGGCUAAUGAAAUGAUAUUGAAAAAAGACAACAUGGAGGACUAUAGACGACACAAAAAGAAAAGUUAGAAUAUAAGAGUUUUGGAUUGAAGUGUGACGUUGAGAUUCAAGUUUUGGAUUAAAGAACUCUAGCCAAUUGUUUUGAGAAAGAAAUAUCAAAAUGGAUUUGUGCUGAGAUUAUGCAUUUAAAUUGUGAAUAGAUUAAGUUUUUGUUUAACGAAUUUGGUGAUUUCCAAUGGACAUGGUUGUUGGAAAAAAAAGUUGGCUAUACUAAAGUAAAUUGUAAAAAGAACAUGGAGGACUAUAAUCGACACAAAUAUAGAAGUGUGGAUUUAUUUAACAAAUUUGGUGAUUUCCAUGGAUAUGGUUAUUGGAAAAAGAAAAGUUUGCUGAACUAAUGUAAUUGGCAAAAAGAACGUGGAGGACCAGAAAUGGCACAAAUAGAGAAGUAAGGAUAUUUGAGUUUUGGAUUGUUAAGUGUUAUUCAAUUUUAACUUUUGGAAUGAAUAACCAUUGUUUCGAGAAAAGAUUAUCAGAAUGAAUUAAGAGUUAAAGAUAGUGCACUAAGAGGAAGAUUAGCCAAUUGGAUUAAGUUUUUAUUUAACGAAUUUGGUGAUUUGUUGUUGACAUGAUUAUUGGAACAAGAAAAGUUGGCUAUACUAAUGUAAUUGGUAUAAAGAACAUGAAGGACCAUAAAAGGCACAAAUAUAGAAGUAAGGAUAUUUGAUUUUUUGAUUGAUGUGUGACAUUCAACUUUUAACUUUUGGAAUGAAGAGCCAAUGUUUUGAAAACAGAUUACUUGUUUUGAAAACAGAUUACCAUAAUGGAUUUAGAGUUAAGAUAGUGCACUACGAGAAAGAUUAGCCAUUUGGAUUUAGGAUUUUGUUUAAGGAAUUUGGUGAUUUGCCAUGGAUAUGGUUAGUGGAAGAAGAAAUGUUGGCUAUACUAAUAUAAUUGGUAAAAAGAACAUGGAGGACUAUAAAGGAAACAAAUAAAGAAGUAAGGAUAUUUGAGUUUUGGAUUGAAGUGUGGCAUUUGGACUUUAACUUUUGGAAUGAAGAGCCAAUGCUUGGAGAAAGGAUUACGAUGAAUUAAGUGUUAAAAUAGUUCGAUAUUUGAGUUUUGGAUUGAAGUGUGGCAUUUGGACUUUUAACUUUUGGAAUGAAGAGCCAAUGCUUGGAGAAAGGAUUACGAUGAAUUAAGUGUUAAAAUAGUUCCUUAAUUGUAAGAUUAGUCAAUUGGAUUAUGAUAGAUCACCAAGUUGUGUUCGUAUUGUAUGGAUAUAAACUUCAACGAUUGCAGUAAGGAAUAGAUCAAUUUCAGAAUGAAAAGUACGAAAAACCAAGAAGAGAAUUAAAAGAACUAUCCUCUCUGCUUUUGGGUUAAUUUGUGCAAGAGAAAGGUCCCAUUGGUGUAAUAAGGUGUCGGAUGAGAUUGAACUUAAAUUUUUGAAUGAAGAGUUAUUUGCUUUCUUUGGAUGAAAUAAGUUACGAAAUGUUAAGAUGGACAGAGAUAAGGUAUCCAUUUGGUUUUCGGAGUAGUGGCUUUCGCUUGGACAUGAAGUUUGUUAUAUUUGUGGAGAUUCAUUGGCACAAGGUUUUGGAGUAUUAAAAGUUUUGAAGGAUUGGUGGAGAAGCGUAUAAGCCUAAUAGGUGUAUCUAAUGGAACCAAAAAAAGAAGUAUGGAGGUUUUUAAUUAAAGGAAGUACUUGAAUGAAAGAUCUUUGGGUAAUUAACGCUAAUGCUGGUUCGAUUCUGUUUAUUAUAAGCUGAUUACGGGCAAUCUUAUGGAAUUGCUUAGUUUGUUAGGUAUUGAAGAAGGCAGGAAGAUAAGUUUGUAUAAGGCCAUGAUUAUGUAAGGAGAUGGGAAGAUAAGUUUGAAUAAAGGAAUUUUAUACUAAAGUAUAAAAAGAACAUGGAGGACUAUAAAUGGGACAAAUAGAGAAGUAAGGAUAUUUGAGUUUUGCAUUUAAGUGUGGCAUUGGACUUCAACUUUUGGAAUGAAGAGCCAAUGUUCAGAGAAAAGAUUAUCAAAAUGGAUUAAGAGUUAAGAUAGUGCACUAAGAGAAAUAUUAGCCAAUUGAAUUAAGUUUUAAUUAAACGAAUUUGGUGAUUUGCCAUGUACAUGGUUAUUGGAAAAAGAAAACUGGGCCAUACUAUUGCAAUAUUGGUAAAAAGAACAUAGAAGAUCAUAAAUGACACAAAUAGAGAAGUAAGGACAUUUGAUUUUUGGAUUGAAGUGUGACAUUGGCUUUUAACUUUUGGAAUGAAGAGUCAAUGUUUAGAGAAAAGAUUAUCAUAAUGGAUUAAGAGUUAAGAUAGUGCACUAAGAGAAAGACUAG
Molecule: long non-coding RNA, 10395 nt
Filed under: Cucumis sativus (cucumber)
Lineage: Eukaryota; Viridiplantae; Streptophyta; Magnoliopsida; Cucurbitales; Cucurbitaceae
Description: long non-coding RNA (CSAT_LNC003138)
Source: RNAcentral